GAUGAAGAACGUAGCGAAAUGCGAUAAGUAAUGUGAAUUGCAGAAUUCAGUGAAUCAUCGAAUCUUUGAACGCACAUUGCGCCCGUCAGUAUUCUGGCGGGCAUGCCUGUUCGAGCGUCAUUACGCCCCUCAAGUCCCCUGUGGACUUGGUGUUGGGGAUCGGCGAGGCUGGUUUUCCAGCACAGCCGUCCCUUAAAUUAAUUGGCCGUCUCGCCGUGGCCCUCCUCUGCGCAGUAGUAAAACACUCGCAACAGGAGCCCGGCGCGGUCCACUGCCGUAAAACCCCCCAACUUUUUAUAGUUGACCUCGAAUCAGGUAGGACUACCCGCUGAACUUAAGCAUAUCAAUAAGCGGAGGA
This 358-nucleotide unclassified non-coding RNA is filed under the name soil metagenome. RNAcentral describes it as "partial contains 5.8S ribosomal RNA, internal transcribed spacer 2, and large subunit ribosomal RNA". The stretch from base 1 to 120 matches the Rfam family "5.8S ribosomal RNA", at positions 35 to 154 of the family's 154-position model. The record is from RNAcentral.